GACAAGGUAGUUUAGUGGGAAGAAUAUCUAUUUUACACGUAGGAGGCGGGUUUUCCCUAUUGUCA
RNAcentral lists this transfer RNA (65 nucleotides) under Clonorchis sinensis. Its description in RNAcentral is "tRNA-Val". It matches the Rfam family "tRNA". From Rfam's summary of the family: Transfer RNA (tRNA) molecules are approximately 80 nucleotides in length. Lineage: Eukaryota; Metazoa; Platyhelminthes; Trematoda; Opisthorchiida; Opisthorchiidae. The record is from RNAcentral.